AGAGCCGAGCGGGCUGCGCGGAGGCUGCGGAGCCGGCGGCCGCGGGAGCUGACCCUGCGGGGUCCCGGGGGGGGAGGGGGAGCCGCGAAGCCCCCACUGAGGCCGCCGCUACCGGGCCUCCCCUCCCCCCCGGGCGGGCGCCAUGCGGGGGAGCCCGGGCGACGCGGAGCGGCGGCAGCGCUGGGGUCGCCUGUUCGAGGAGCUGGACAGUAACAAGGAUGGCCGCGUGGACGUGCACGAGUUGCGCCAGGGGCUGGCCAGGCUGGGCGGGGGCAACCCAGACCCUGGCGCCCAACAGGGUAUCUCCUCUGAGGGUGAUGCUGACCCAGAUGGCGGGCUCGACCUGGAGGAAUUUUCCCGCUAUCUGCAGGAGCGAGAACAGCGUCUGCUGCUCAUGUUUCACAGUCUUGACCGGAACCAGGAUGGUCACAUUGAUGUCUCUGAGAUCCAACAGAGUUUCCGAGCUCUGGGCAUUUCCAUCUCGCUGGAGCAGGCUGAGAAAAUUUUGCACAGCAUGGACCGAGACGGCACAAUGACCAUUGACUGGCAAGAAUGGCGCGACCACUUCCUGUUGCAUUCGCUGGAAAAUGUGGAGGACGUGCUGUAUUUCUGGAAGCAUUCCACGGUGAGGUGGGGGUGGCUUUCCCCGGCUGAAGGCUGUGCCCUCUUCCCCAGGGGGGCCUUGCUCCGAUCUCCCCAGGGCUUGGAUGGGCUGGGCCAGGACUUUCCAGAAGGAGAAGGC
Molecule: small RNA, 742 nt
Filed under: Pan troglodytes (chimpanzee)
Lineage: Eukaryota; Metazoa; Chordata; Mammalia; Primates; Hominidae
Description: retained intron
Source: RNAcentral